CGACGCCGCGUGAAGGAUGACGGCCUUCGGGUUGUAAACUUCUUUUAAGAUGGAAGAAUAAAAUGACGGUACUUCUUGAAUAAGCCCCGGCUAACUACGUGC
This 102-nucleotide ribosomal RNA is filed under the name uncultured bacterium. Its description in RNAcentral is "partial 16S ribosomal RNA". It matches the Rfam family "Bacterial small subunit ribosomal RNA", at positions 392 to 508 of the family's 1533-position model. The record is from RNAcentral.